GUGGGGAGGGUGCGCGCGCUGGUGUUUGCGUUGGUUAUGGGGAGUGGGGGGUGGACAAGGUGGUGCCCUUUUUAUGGGCUUUCUUUCCGAGGGUUCGUUCUUUUCCGUCUGCUCCUCCCAGCCGGAUUAGGCUAGACGCCAGAGCAGUUUGGCGGCUAAAGAUAACACAGUUAUAAUAGUGCCGAGAACUGAAACUUCGCACGUCUUGGAUGCGGACGACGGACAUCCAAUAACGAUUGGGGAAGGGUCUCAAACUACUUGAAUGAAAACACGAACUUUGGAGACGAAAGUGAAAAAAAGACUUCCACGUAAACAGAAUUGGUAGACGAAAUGAGUAAAGAGUAGGAAAAACAUCAACAGAAUUAUAUAUAUAAAUAUAAAUAAAGUGACGACUAUUGAUUACAUUGUAAAAUGAUAUCUUGUAAAGGACACCGUUUAAUGAUUAAAAUUAGACCACACUAAACGGAACAAAUUACGGCAGUUACAGAACCUUGUCAAACAUACUUCUAAGUUCCGGUCAUUAAGUAUAAAGUGAUAUUGCGUACAAUCUGUACUUGAUAACAUGACUACUUUGAUAUCGAAGUGCUGCAAAUAAAGAAUUACAGGGUUUAGAACUCUUACUAAAAUCGAUAAAUGGUAAACAUGGUCUUCAAAAGAUCUUAACACCAAGCAUAGAAACGUUCCGUACUCAAUGAAACGUGGUACUAUUAGAGGAAUCAGGAAUCCCAAUUGUGACUAAACCUUUGAUUUUAUACUAGGGGGGUCUAAUAGAAUAGAAUUUCGAAAUCAUUCUGUCAAGGAAAAAGAGACGACAACAUUUUUACAUAAUUACAAAUUAAGCCAUAACGUUACUUUAAUACAAAUCGUUCUAUUACAAAAAGAAUUAGACAUAUUUACGAGUUGAUCUCAGUUAAUUAUCAAGAAAGAAGUUGUUAAGAUUGCUAUUUCAUCUAAGCAGUGUCAACUAAAGUUCUACUGUUCAUUCUUUUCAUUGUCUGGAUGUCAGUGUAGUACGUGACGAGACGUAUACCUUACCCUGUCCUAAAGAACGGGAUAAACAUACCUCGUUGGUGUGUUACGACAAAAUGAAUAUACGUCAAGCAUGUUCUUACCGACGUCUUCAAUAUAAACAUUGUGUUCGGUAGCUGUGAGAUUAACGGAUCUGGCCAAGUCUCUUUACUUACCUCUAUCAUUCCAGGCACUAAGUGUGAGUUGGAGAAGCCACGAAAGUUUGAGGUUAUUGUCUUGUCAGGUUGGUUCUAGAGUGAUAUCAUGCUAAAGGUCUGUAAACAACUCGGGUUCGGAGUCUUCUGUGUAACUGUUACGAUUAUUGGUUCUUAGACGAUUAAGUUGUGGUAAGAAUCCUCUUUCAUCGUAAUAUUACGUUCUUACAGUACUACGACACGUUUAAAGUCAACUGUACUUCACAGGAGAGACAUCUCCUAGUCAUAGUCCGACCUAAGGACGACCUCUUCAGUCUUUCAUAGACCUGCUCUUCAACUCCACAACGAGAGUACUAACGACGUUUAAACAACCAUCGAUACUCGUCGACGCACUCGUACGAUCUUGUCGAGUGAACGAACGUUUCGGACGGGAACAUCUAUAGAGUUCCUUUUCCAGAACCCUAGCGGAACUUGCACUCGUCCUCAAACCACUACACUAAUCACGUUAGUCCAGUGUCUUAGGACCACGUCAUUAUCAACCACUGAUACAAUAACUCUGAUCUCUACGUUACAGAGGACUACUUCUAAGACCCCUUCUUUCACCACUACUCACCACCAGAGGACGGGUUCUGGUUCAUCUUAGUGGCCUGUUGGCUGUAGCACGGGGAUCCGGGACCGACUUACCUUCUGAACCUAGUGGAUGGUAAACCGGUCUACCUUCCGUACGGAAGGGAUCCAAAGACGGCGUCGGGUCCGGUAAGUCACUAUCCGCGUCGAGUGCACGUCUAACCGUCCCGUAGGCUGCCAGUUCGCGUGUUUCGACCGACGCGGUUCCAAAGAGCUUAGCCGUGAGAUCCGUGUGGUCGUCAAUGGCGCCUAUAGCGGUACCGUAGAAACUAGCUGCAAUGCGACCUUUGUUAGCACGUUCAUAACUAUCCUCCGUCCUACCGGGUUGUAAAGGCGGCCCUUCUGCCGUCGCAAACUCUAUGUGCGUUUCUUCGGUCGUACUAGGUACUAGCCGUCUUCGUUGUGAUGGACACGUCAUAAAUCAAUAAUGUUUGUCGGUUCGGUAGGAACAUUUUAUCAAUCACCACCAAUUCUUAUUUAUAGAACCGGAUAAAUGAUAAACACAUUAUAGAGACAAUCUUUGCAACAUCACGUCUACGUCUUGAAGGGAAGAUUUACAGAUAAGUUACGGAACAAGAACCAUCAGAACAGAAAAGAAAGACACACUCCACCAAGACACUAAUUCAACUUUACUCUAUAUUGUCGUAAAAGGAGGUCCCUAACCAAGUAAGAAAGGGAAAGAAAAACAAGAAGUACGG
Molecule: ribosomal RNA, 2488 nt
Filed under: Triticum aestivum (bread wheat)
Lineage: Eukaryota; Viridiplantae; Streptophyta; Magnoliopsida; Poales; Poaceae
Description: partial small subunit ribosomal RNA
Source: RNAcentral